Bombus pascuorum is the source of this 391-nucleotide long non-coding RNA. RefSeq lists it as uncharacterized. The transcript has 2 exons. The record is from RefSeq and is a predicted model, not a curated record. NCBI's taxonomy places the organism in Eukaryota, Metazoa, Arthropoda, Insecta, Hymenoptera, Apidae.
AAAUAGCGGAGUCAGUAUACUAUGUAUAAGAAGGAGAAGGAGGAGGUAAAGGAGGAGGAGGUAAAGGAGGAGGAGGAGGAGGAGGAGCCGAGAGAGAGAAGUAUGUAAGAGCGACAGAAACAGGGAGGAUAGAAGGAGGGACAGGGAAAGAAGUAGCGCGCGCGAAAAAGAGAGAGAGCGAAAUUACGAACAAGGGAGAAGAAGCGGAGGAGAAAGGAAAGACGAGGAGGGCUGAGAAGGAAGAGGAGAAGUAGGAAAGGAGAGGAAGAGAGAAGGGGGAAGAAAAAGAAAGAAGGAGGGAAGGAGAAAAAGGAAAGAGAGAUAGAGGAAGGGAAAGGCAGGAAAAUUAGACACUGAGAGGAAGAGAGAAAGGAGAAAGAAAGAGAGAGGG